UUAAAAAGCCCCUUGUCCUCAAGGUUUCAUUUAUGCUUUACUAGAAUCCCAGACCUUGUAACUUGUGGUUUUGAAAACAAAUUCUAUCACCAUGGUAAGUUUUCUCAUAUCACUAAUAUGAUUAGUUUGAUUUGGAGCAUCGUCCUGUUCGCCUUCAAGAUUGAAGCAUGGAUUGAAAGGUGGUCCAGUUAGUAUGUAUCAACCAUCUUCAUUGCUGCAUAUAAGCUAUUGUUUGUGGACUGUGAUAUUAACUCACUGAAGAAUGGCAGUAUAAAUUUCAGGGCUCAGAAUUUGCUGUAUAAACAUUGAAAGGAUUUAUUAGUUCACUUCCCACAGAAUACCCCACCACAGAAAACAACACAAUCCACCCAAAAAUGAUGCCAACUCUGAGAUUCACCCAGUCCACUUAUUGCCAAUAAUAUACUUUGACAAAGCUAACACCUGUUCACAAUGAAAUUUAUUCCUCUUCCACAAAUUAUUUCUUUCAAUUUUUAAUGUUUAUAUUAUCAAAAUUUGCCAUAAUUUUACCUUUCGAUAUUGUAAAUUCAAUGCUUAUAUUAUCAACUUUUUUUAGAGAAAAGGGAGAAAAAGUAACUACCCAUGUUCUAAUCAAUUAUAUACAAGUAUUGGAUAUCUCCUUACCAAACAUGUCAUCUUCUGCAAUCUAUUGGGUAAAAUGGCAGUAGGGUACCUACAAUAUAUGUUACCUCCGAUUACAAUCAAUACACUGCAAUUUAUCUAAUUAUAAAGAAUAAACCCUAGAUUUCUUACUUGACAACCCAUAUGAGGAAAACUCAUAAAGAACAAACCCUAGAUUUCUAAUGCAACAAACAAAAAUUACAAACCCAAUAAAAUUAAGGAGCUUUACCUUCCGAUCCGUUUGGUAUGAUUUCGUUGGCCGGAGACCUUCCGUUGGCCUUUACCUUUACC
This 930-nucleotide long non-coding RNA is filed under the name Panax ginseng (ginseng). RNAcentral's name for it is "long non-coding RNA (PGIN_LNC018499)". The record is from RNAcentral. Lineage: Eukaryota; Viridiplantae; Streptophyta; Magnoliopsida; Apiales; Araliaceae.